CGCAAUGGUGGCACUGCGCCGUCGGUA
This 27-nucleotide small RNA is filed under the name Bombyx mori (domestic silkworm). Its description in RNAcentral is "ovarian small RNA-14313". The record is from RNAcentral. Lineage: Eukaryota; Metazoa; Arthropoda; Insecta; Lepidoptera; Bombycidae.